RNAcentral lists this ribosomal RNA (668 nucleotides) under uncultured bacterium. RNAcentral's name for it is "bacterial SSU rRNA". It matches the Rfam family "Bacterial small subunit ribosomal RNA", at positions 111 to 794 of the family's 1533-position model. The record is from RNAcentral.
UAACGCGUGGGUAACCUGCCUUACACUGGGGGAUAACACUUANAAAUAGGUGCUAAUACCGCAUAAGCGCACGAAGCCGCAUGGAUUUGUGUGAAAAACUCCGGUGGUGUAAGAUGGACCCGCGUCUGAUUAGCUUGUUGGCGGGGUAACGGCCCACCAAGGCGACGAUCAGUAGCCGGCCUGAGAGGGUGGACGGCCACAUUGGGACUGAGACACGGCCCAAACUCCUACGGGAGGCAGCAGUGGGGGAUAUUGGACAAUGGGGGGAACCCUGAUCCAGCGACGCCGCGUGAGUGAAGAAGUAUUUCGGUAUGUAAAGCUCUGUCAGCAGGGAAGAAAGAAAUGACGGUACCUGACCAAGAAGCCCCGGCUAACUACGUGCCAGCAGCCGCGGUAAUACGUAGGGGGCAAGCGUUAUCCGGAAUUACUGGGUGUAAAGGGAGCGUAGACGGUUAAGUAAGUCUGGAGUGAAAGGCCGGGGCCCAACCCCGGGACUGCUCUGGAAACUAUUGAACUUGAGUGCAGGAGAGGUAAGCGGAAUUCCUAGUGUAGCGGUGAAAUGCGUAGAUAUUAGGAGGAACACCAGUGGCGAAGGCGGCUUACUGGACUGUAACUGACGUUGAGGCUCGAAAGCGUGGGGAGCAAACAGGAUUAGAUACCCUGGUAGU